This 1198-nucleotide ribosomal RNA is filed under the name metagenome. Its description in RNAcentral is "bacterial LSU rRNA". It matches the Rfam family "Bacterial large subunit ribosomal RNA", at positions 1744 to 2925 of the family's 2925-position model. The record is from RNAcentral.
GGGUGUGCCGCUGGCGGUUAGUGACUUCGCGUCACGAAGCUGUUGGUGGUCGCAGUGAAAUGGCGGUUGUGACUGUUUACUAAAAACACAGGACUCUGCGAAGUCGUAAGACGACGUAUAGGGUCUGAUGCCUGCCCGGUGCUGGAAGGUUAAGGGGAUAUGUCAGCGCAAGCGAAGCAUUGAACCGAAGCCCCAGUAAACGGCGGCCGUAACUAUAACGGUCCUAAGGUAGCGAAAUUCCUUGUCGGGUAAGUUCCGACCUGCACGAGGGCAUAACAACAUCCGCACUGUCUCGACCAGGGACUCAGCGAAAUUACAUUGGGGGUGAAGAUGCCCUCUACCCGCGGAAAGACGGAAAGACCCCAUGAACCUUUACUGCAACUUGGCAGUGAUUUUCGGGUUGUUCUGCGUAGGAUAGGUGGGAGGCUUUGAAGCCGGGCUUCCGGGUUCGGCAGAGCCAACGUUGAAAUACCACCCUGAAUAAUCUGGAAAUCUAACCUGCGCCCAUGAUCUGGGCGAGGGACACUGCCUGGUGGGCAGUUUGACUGGGGCGGUCGCCUCCUAAAUUGUAACGGAGGCGUGCGACGGUUCCCUCAGGCUGAUUGGAAACCAGCCGUAGAGUGCAAACGCAUAAGGGAGCUUUACUGCGAGACUGACAAGUCGACCAGUUGCGAAAGCAGGUGUUAGUGAUCCGGUGGUACCACAUGGAAGGGCCAUCGCUCAUCGGAUAAAAGGUACUCUGGGGAUAACAGGCUGAUCGCGCCUGAGAGUUCACAUCGGCGGCGCGGUUUGGCACCUCGAUGUCGGCUCAUCGCAUCCUGGGGCUGGAGCAGGUCCCAAGGGUUUGGCUGUUCGCCAAUUAAAGCGGUACGCGAGCUGGGUUUAAAACGUCGUGUGACAGUUUGGUCCCUAUCUUCCGUGGGCGCAGGACACUUGAGAGGAGCUAUCCAUAGUACGAGAGGACCUGGAUGGACGAACCUCUGGUGCUCCGGUUGUCACGCCAGUGGCAUAGCCGGGUAGCCAUGUUCGGAACAGAUAACCGCUGAAGGCAUAUAAGCGGGAAGCUGGCCUCAAGACUAGGUGUCCCUGACGCAAGUCACUAAAGGCCCCUCGAAGACUACGAGGUUGAUAGGCUCGGUGUGGAAGCACAGCGAUGUGCGGAGCUAACGAGUACUAAUAGGCCGUGCGGCUUGACCGC